RNAcentral lists this long non-coding RNA (9451 nucleotides) under Homo sapiens (human). RNAcentral describes it as "HSALNT0080518". Lineage: Eukaryota; Metazoa; Chordata; Mammalia; Primates; Hominidae. The record is from RNAcentral.
GCAAAAGUAAAAUGCCCCAAGGGAUGAAGAAAUUAUGAUAUGUAAAUGUAUAGAAAUGAUUUGUAGAAAUUACAAAUUGGUGUUUAAAAUCAUUUAAUGAUAAUGAAAAUGGUUAAUGGUAAAUUAUAUAGUCAAUGAGUAAUUCAGAGUCUGAUAUAUUUUCCAAACACAAAAAUCUUGAACAGCAUUAUAACCAAUAUUUAUCUCUAUUGUGUGAUUUUAAAGACAUCUUCAUUAUCUUCUUUAUAAUUUUCAUAUUGUCCAACUUUUCAAUAAUCAAUAUGUAUGAUUUUACAAUCAGGAGAAAUAAAGCAGUCACUGAUUUUUCUAAAAAUUUAUAAAAUGGAAAAUGUAAAACAGCAUUACCUCCAUCGAGUUUUACUCUCUGAAAAAUAUUAAUUUAUCCUUAGACUAUGUAAUUUAAAAAACAUAAUAAAAUAGAAACAAGUAAAUUUCAUUUGGAUGCAAGGAAAAGUAUUCUUGUUAAUGAUAAAACAAUGUCAUCCACUAAAAUAACAAGGUUAAGGACUUAGAGGUAUCAAAUGGCCAGACAGAUAUAGAUAAUUUCUGAAUGAUAACUCACAGCUUUGGUUACUUUUCUUUGGUAAACAUGAUCAUAGGCACAAAGGUUCUGGUGAUUCGUGUGCUUUUUUUUUUUAAUGAGUUUGUAUUUUAGACUUUGUAGGUUGCUUUUCAUACAUUAUCUCUUAAACUGUGAGAAAGGUAUUUUUACCAUUGAUAGAGGCAGGAGACAGGCAAAUGCCUAGGAAAUAGGGAAGGGCCCCCGGGAGAACCUCUGACCUGCUCCGCAAGUAUUCACACCAGAUGUUUUUGUGCAGAUAAAGGAACCAGUGCAGGGUCUUGCCUGGGCAUGCCCACAAUGAACCGGAGGCGAACAUGCACUGGAGGAAUGGGGUAGAGCCACCAGGAAUUUGUGCUGUAUACUGGGGAGGAGCCUGGCCUCAUCAACUCCUGUGUGGUGGCCUGGAAUUCAAUUUGUGAGGUGGAAACCUGAGUGCAGGACUGCUCUUUUUGUUGAGAGCUUUCCUUUUGCUUAAUAAAUUCUGGGCCGGGCACUUUGGCUCACACCUGUAAUCCUAGCACUUUGGGAAGCCAAGGCUGGCGGAUCACCUGAGGUCUGUUAGGUCCAUUUGUUCCAAGGUGUAGUUUAAAUCUAUUGUUUUUUUUUUUUGACUUUCUGUCUUGAUAAACUGUUUAGUGCUUGGAGCCUUUGUUCAUAUUUUCUUAUUCUUUUUUCUUUUCUUUCUUGUAUUGGGUUAGUUCGAAGUCCUUGUCUUCAAACUCUGAAUUUCUUCUACUUGUUCAAUUCUAUUGCUGAGACUUUCCAGAGCAUUUUGCAUUUCUAAAAGUGUGUCCACAGUGUCCUGAAUUUUUUAUUGUUUUUUUUCUUCAAACUAUCUAUUUCCAUGAAUAUUUCUCCCUUCACUUCUUGUAUAAUUUUUUGGAUUUCCUUGCAUUGGGCUUUGCCUUUCUCUAGCCCCUCCCUGAUUAGCUUAAUAACUAAGCUUUGAAUACUUUUUCAGGUAAAUCAGGGAUUUCUUCUUAGUUUGGAUCCAUUGCUGGUGAACCAGUGUGAUUUUUGGGGGGUACUGAAAAGGCUUGUUUUGUCAUAUUACCAGGGUUGUUUUUCUGGUUCUUUUUUGAGGGAGGAGAGAGACCCUCUCAUAUUGUUUUAUAUUGUUUUAUACUCAGUACCUGUUUUAAGAAAAACAACAAGGAAGUAAAACCAAAGACAGGCAGCCUGGCACCAGGCCUGAAACCAGGCCUGGGCCUGCCUCGCCUAAAUCCAGUAGUUAAAAAUCAAUUCAUAACUUAGAAACCGAUGUUAUUCAUAGAUUCCAGACAUUGUAUAGAAGAGCAUUGUGAAACUCCCUGCCCUGUUCUGUUUCUCUCUGACCACCCGUGCAUGCAGCCCCUGUCACGUACCGCCUGCUUGCUCAAAUCAAUCACGACCCUUUCAUGUGAAAUCUUUAGUGUUGUGAGCCCUUAAGAGGGACAGAAAUUGAGCAUUCGGGGAGCGCGGAUUUUGAGGCAGUAGCUUGCCGAUGCUCCCAGGUGAAUAAAGCCCUUCCUUCCAUAACUCGGUGCCUGAGAGGUUUUGUCUGCAGCUCGUCCUGCUACAUUCUCAUUUGGUGGGGAACUGAGAUUCAAGACAACUCCAGCACCUUGGAGGAACUGGCCAGUAUAUCAAGAAAAGCCUCUGGCAUGGUCAAUAAGGAGCCAGCAUAAAACCAAACAUUACAAGACACACAAAGAAGCAAAGAAAUGUGACUCACAUUCAAGAAAGGAUGCAAGCCCAGAUAUUUCCUAGAUAUUGGAAACAUCUGACAAGGACUUCAAAAUAACUAUGGCAAUUAUGUUAAAUAAAGUAUGUAAAAACACAGGAGAAAAUGGGAACUUUUAGUACAUAUAUAAUCAUGAUAAAAAAAAACCCAAAUGCAAAUGUUAGAAAUAAAGAAUGAGCCAUCAGAAAUAAAACAUUCAUCAGACGGGCUUACAUUUGACAAUAUCAAGUAAUAGCCAUUAUUUAUGAUGAUAUAAUACAAAAUAUAUUAUUAUAGUCACAAAAAAGGGACAAGCAAAAAGACCUAGUGCCUGAGAAUUUUCAAAAAUUGAAGAAAGAUAUCAAACCAUAGAUUUUGGAAGCUUAGCAAACCUCAGUGAGGAUACAUUAGCAAUAGCAACAACAAAACACAAAAAUCUAUCAGAGUGAAGAAGUAAAAAAACAAAAUAGGAGAAUGCUACCAACUUUCUUGGGUUAUUAUUUGACUACCCAGCUUUUAAUAUUCUUAAGUUUUAAUUUUAUGUCUUGUAAACAUUAAAUACUUAAGUUUCUUUUUCCAAAUCAGAAACUACAGGUUGGCAAACUACCCUAAACCUGGCCUGCCUGCAAUUUCUUAUGUGUGUGAGCAUGAAAUGGUCUUCACAUUUUUAAAUGGGUGAAAAUAUCAAAAGAAGAAUAAGAUUUUAUGACAUAUGCAUUUGGAAUCAAAUUUUAGGGUUCAUAAAUACAGGUUUAUUGGAAGGCAGUUUUCAUGCACGUCCCUGUGAAGAGACCACCAAACAGGCUUUGUGUGAGCAAUAAAGCUUUUAAUCACCUGGGUGCAGGCAGGCUGAGUCUGAAAAGAGAGUCAGUGAAGGGAGAUAAGGGUGGGGCUGUUUUAUAGGAUUUGGGUAGGUAAAGGAAAAAGGGGGGUUGUUCUCUGGCAGGCAGGAGUGGGGGUCACAAGGUACUCAGUGGGGGAGCUUUUGAGCCAGGAUGAGCCAGCAGAAGGAAUUCACAAGACAGUGUCAUCAGUUAAGGCAGGAACAGGCAUUUUCACUUCUUUUGUGGUGGAAUGUCAUCAGUUAAGGCAGGAACCGGCCAUCUGGAUGUGUACCUGCAGGUCACAGGGGAUAUGAUGGCUUAGCUUGGGCUCAGAGGCCUGAAAUUCCUGUCUUCUUAUAUUAAUAAGAAAAAUAAAAUGAAAUAGUGGUAACGUGUUGGGACGGCAAAAAUUUUUGGGGAUGGUAUGGAGAGAUAAUGGGAGAUGUUUCUCAGGGCUGCUUCUAGCAGGAUUAGGGGCGGUGUGGGAACCUAGAGUGGGAGAGAUUAAGCUGAAGGAAGAUUUUGUGGUAAGGGGUGAUAUUGUGGGGUUGUUAGAAGAAACAUUUGUCAUUUAGAAUUAUUGGUGAUGGCCUGGAUAUGGUUUUGUAUGAAUUGAAAAACUAAACAGAAUAAGAGAAGGAGAAAAACAGGUAUUAAAGGACUAAGAAUUGGGAGAACCUAGGACAUCUAAUUAGAGAGUGCCUAAGGAGGUUCGGCAUAGCCUUGCCAGCAAAGAUUAUUUAUUUACUUUAAGAGUUAAGAGUGGGAGUUUGGGGAUAGCACCAGGAGAUAUCAGCUGUGAUGGCUUGGAGAAACAGUGUAAACCGGCAGUGUAAACAAGAGCAGGGCAUGUAUGAGUAGUUGAGAAUGGUGAAUAGGAGUAUGACUAGACAGAAGACAGUAGGGAUGACAAGUUUUGGGGGCACAGUCUAAGUUGGUCUGGUGUCUGGAAUGAGACUGGGGCCUAAUAAAAAGGAGCAUCUAUACGGGAGCUUAAAUGGGCUGUACUUUGUAGCAUUCCGAGGACAGGUCUGAAUUCUGAGAAGGGAAAGUGGUAAAAGUAUUGUCUAUUCCUUUUUAAGUUGGUGGCUGAGCUUGGUGAGGUGUGUUUUUAAAAGACCUUUAGUCUGUUCUACUUUUCCUGAAGACUGAGGACUGUAAGGGAUAUAAAGGUUUCACUGAAUACUAAGAGCCUGAAAAACUGCUUGGCUGAUUUGACUAAUAAAGGCUGGUCUGUUAUCAGACUGUAUAGAGGUGGGAAGGCUAAACUGAGGAAUUAUUUCUGACAGAAGGGAAGAAAUGACUGCGGUGGCCUUCUCAGACCCUGUAGGAAAGGCCUCUACCUAACUAGUGAAAGUGUCUACCCAGACUAAGAGGUAUUUUAGUUUUUGUGACUCGGGGCAUGUUGAGUAAAGCUAAUUUGCCAGUCCUGGGCGGGGGCAAAUCCUUGAGCUUGAUGUGUAGGGAAGGGGGGAGGGGGCCUGAAUAAUCCUUGAGGAGUAGUAGAAUAGCAGAUGGAAUACUAAAAAUUUAUUUCCCUGAGGAUAGAUUUCCGCGAUGGAAAAGAAAUGAGAGGUUUUAAGAGGCGGGCUAGUGGCUUGUACUGUAGCAUAGCCUGCCUUUGCUGGUGUGUGGCAAUUAGGCCUGGUGGAACUGCCAUCAAUAAACCAAGUGUGUUCAGGGUGAGAAACAGUGAAGAAGGAAAUGUGGGGAAGUGGGGUGAAUGUCAGGUGGAUCAGAGAGAUGCAGUCAUGAGGGUCAGGUGUGGUAUCAGGAAUAAUGUGGGAGGCCGGAUUGAAGUCCGAGCCAGGAACAAUGGUAACUGUGGGAGACUCAACAAAGAGUGAGUACAGCUGAAGGAGCCGGGGAGCAGAAAGUAUAUGCAUCAGGUGUGAGGAAGAAAAUAGAUUCUGGAAAUUAUGAGAGCUGUAGAGAGUGCAUUGAGCAUAGUUUGUGAUUUUAAGGGCCUCUAAAAUAUUAGGGUGGUAGCAGCCGCUGCAUGGAGACAUGAUGGCCAGCCUAAAACAGUAAGGUCAAGUUGUUUGGACAAAAAGGCUACAGGACGCGAUCCUCAUCCUUGUGUAAGAAUUCUUACUGCACAGCCCUGCACUUCAGCUGUGUGUAAUGAAAAGGGUUAGGAUGAGUCAGGGAGAGCUAUAGUGGGGGCAGUUUCUAAAGCUGUCUUCAAGGAAUGGAAAGAGGAGUGGGGGAAAGGAUUUAGUAUCUAUGGGGUCGGCUAGGUUUCCUUUUGUGAGUUUAUAUAAUGGUUUUGUUAGGAUGGCAAAACCAGGUAUCUAAAUGUGAAAGUAUCUAACCAUACCCAGGAAGGAAAGGAGUUGUUGUUUUGUAGAAUGGAUUGGGGUUUGAGAGACUAGUUGGACACGAUCGGCAGGGAGCGCACGUGUGUUUUUAUGAGAAUUAUGCUGAGAUAGCUAACAGAUGAGGAAGAAAUUUGGGCUUGACUGAAGUAAUGGGGGCUGUCUGUGAAGCUUUGUGGCAGUACAGCCCAGGUAAUUUGCUGAGCCUGAUGGGUGUCAGGGUCAAUCCAAGUGAAAGCGAAGAUAGGCUGUGAUGAAGGGUGCAAAGGAAUAGUAAAGAAAGCAUGUUUGAGAUCCAGAACAGAAUAAUGGAUUGUGGAGGGAGGUAUUAAGGAUUGAAAGGCCAUGCUGUAGCAGGCAAGUGAUAACAGGCUUUAAUCCUUUCAAAGCAUGCUGUGGGAUGGGAUAUUGGCAUUGAGUGGGGUAAGGGUGAUUAGGCUUUAAUGAGAUGGUAAGGGGUGCAUGAUCGGUCACCAAGGAGGGAGUAGAGGUAUCUUAUACUUGUGGGUUAAGGUUGGGGGAUACAAGAGGAGGAUGCAAAGGAGGCUUUGGAUUGGGAAGAAGGGCUUCAAUGAGAUGUAGCUGUAAUCCAGGAAUAGUUAGGGAAGCAGAUAAUUUAGUUAAGGUGUCUCGGCAUAAUAAGGGAACUGGGCAGGUGCGGAUAACUAAAAGGAGUGCUUAAAAGAGUAUUGUCUAAGUUGGCACCAGAGUUGGGGAGUUUUAAGAAGUUUAGAAGCCUGGCUGUCAAUACCCACAAACAGUUAUGGAGGCAAGGGAAACAGGCCCUUGAAAAGAAGGUAAUGUGGAGUGGGUAGCCUCCGUAUUGCUUAAGAAGGGGACGGACUUACCUUCCACUGUGAGAGUUACCUGAAGCUCGGCGUCUGUGAUGGUCUAGGGGGCUUCUGAGGUGAUCAGGCAGCGUCAGUCUUUAGCUGCUAAGCCGAGAAGGUCUGGGAAGGAGUCAGUCAGAGAGCCUUGGGCCAGAGUUCCAGCAUCUCUGGGAGUGGCUGCCAGGUGAGUUGAACAGUCCGAUUUCCAGUGGGGUCCCGCACAGAUGGGACACGGCUUAGGAGGAAUCCCGGGCUGCGGGCAGAUUUCUGGCACUUGUAGCAAGCUCCUGGGGGAGGUGGUUCUGGAGGAAUGCCUGGCCAGUGCGGUUUAGGCAUUUGGAAGUUCUUGUGUGCUGGAGAUGUGGCUGGGGUUUGUCUCACAGUGGAGGAAAGGAAUUGCAACUCAGAAAUAUGUUGCUACUUGGUGCCUCUAUUAUUGUACACCUUGAAGGUGAGGUUACUUUAGUCCUGUUGUGGGGUUUGAGGGCCGGAAUUUAAUUUUUGGAUUUUUAUUUAAUGUCAGGAGCAGAUUGGGUAAUAAAAUGUGUAUUGAGAAUAAGAUGGCCUUUUGACUUUUUAGGGUCUAGGGCUGUAAAGCGUCUCAGUGUUGCUGCCAAACAAGCCAUGAACUGGGCUGGAUUUUUAUAUUUGAUGAAAAAGAGCCUAAAUGCUAUCUGAUUUGGGAUAAAGAAAAAGGAGCAUUAACCUUGACUAUGCCUUUAGCUCCAGCCGCCUUUGUAAGAAUAAAUCGCUGGGCAGGUGGGGGAGGGCUAGUCACAGAACGAAACUGUAAGCCGGACCAGGUGUGAGGAGCAGAGGUGAUAAAAGGAUUAUAGGGUGGAGGAGCGGAGGCUGAGGAAGAAUUGGAACCUAGCUUGGCCUGGCGAGGAGCAGCCUGGGGAGGAGGGGAGAGGUCAGAUGGGUCUGUAGAAAAGGAAGAUUAGAAAGACUCAGUGACGCUUGGGGUUGGGACUGAGGGGCCAGGUGGGAGGGAAAGAAGGAAGAUUUGGGAUGAGUUGCAUUGGGAACAGAGACUAGAGAGGGACCGAUGUGUAAAAGAAUGCCUGGAUGUCAGGCACCUCAGACCAUUUGCCUAUUUGACAACAAGAAUUAUUUAGAUCUUGCAGGAUGGAAAAAUUGAAAGUGCCAUUUUCUGGCUAUUUGGAACCACUGUCAAGUUUGUAUUGGGGUCAAGCUGCAUUGCAGAAGAAAAUAAGGCAUUUAGGUUUUAGGUCAGGUGUGAGUUGAAGAGGUUUUAAGUUCUUGAGAGCACAGGCUAAGGGAGACGGAGGACUGGAGGGUGGAAGAUUGCCCAUAGUGAAGGAGGCAAGCCUAGAGAAAAGAGAAAGUAGAGACACGGAGGGAAGGGGUUCAGGGGUUUCUUACCUUCCAGAAAAGUGGGAAAGGGGUCAAGGCAUGGAAAUAAGGGGUUGGGGUGCAGAGAUAAGAGGUCAGGGUGCAGAAAUAAGGGAUUGGAGCGCAGAGAUAAGAGGUCGGGGCAUGGAAAUAAGGGAUUGGGGCACAGAGAUAAGAGGUCGGGGCAUGGAAAUAAGGGAUUGGGGGUUCUUUCCUCCAAGAAAAGCGGGACUUGCCACUAAGGGUGAAGGAGAAGGGGUUGGUGUACUUGCCCCUCCCCCAGAAAAGCGGGACUUGAUGCUAAGGGUGAAGGACCACGGCAGGCAUCCCCACGUGGUCUGACACCUCUGAAACCUGGUUGAAUAAUCAGAGAGGCAUCCCUGCAAUGAUUAAACACCAAGGGAAGGCUGCCUUCCCUAGUCCAUCACUGAUGCUGGAGUUUUGGGUCCACGGAUAAAACGUGUCUCCUUUGUCUCUUACCAGAAAAUGAAAGGAAUUGAAAUUAAGAGAAGGGGGAGAUUGAAGUGUGGCACCAAGAUUGAAAGGAGAAAGACGUUGAGGGAUAGUGAGGGAGGUUGGAGAAGAGAGUAAAAAGAGGCCGCUUACUGGAUUUGAAAUUGGUGAGAUGUUUCUUGGGCUGGUCGGUCGGAGGACCUGAGGUCGUAGGUGGACUUUUCUCACGGAGCAAAGAGCAGGAGGACAGGGGAUUGAUCUCCUAAUGCAGGUCGCCCAUCCGAGUCACGGCACCAAAUUUCAUGUGCAUCCGUGUGAAGAGACUGCCAAACGGGCUUUGUGUGAGCAAUAAAUCUUUUAAACACCUGGGUGCAGGCGGGCUGAGUCCGAAAAGAGAGUCAAUGAAGGGAGAUAGGGGUGGGGCCAUUUUAUAGGAUUUGGGUAGGUAAAGGAAAAAGGGGGGUUGUUCUCUGGUGGGCAGGAAUGGGGGUCACAAGGUACUCAGUGGGGGAGCUUUUGAGCCAGGAUGAGCCAGCAGAAGGAAUUCACAAGACAGUGUCAUCAGUUAAGGCAGGAACAGGCAUUUUCACUUCUUUUGUGGUGGAAUGUCAUCAGUUAAGGCAGGAACCGGCCAUCUGGAUGUGUACCUGCAGGUCACAGGGGAUAUGAUGGCUUAGCUUAGGCUCAGAGGCCUGACAGCAGUCAUGCUCUUCAUUCAUGUAUUGUCUAUGGCUGCUUUGCAUUACAACAGUAGAGAAGUUCAGUUGUUUUGAAAGAGAAUGCAUGUAUGUGGCACUCUUAUUGCUUCAUGCUAAUGCUUGGUACUCUAAAAAUUGUGUUAAUAUAGUUAAAACUCUGUAGCAUUCCAAAUUCCACGUCGCUAUAACACAACACUUAAUGUAUAUUUUAUUACUAGUACACAACCAUAAAUUUAAAACAAAAAGAAGAAAAAUGACUUUAAAUGUUGCAUAUUUAAGGCACAGUUGAGUAUGAAUUAUUUUGUACUGAAUUUGAUAGCAAAUUGCCCAACGAUGAUAUAUCUAUUCUUAAAAAAAUUAUAUUGACAUUAACAAACUAAGCAUUGUUCACAAUAUUUCCUACUCACAGAAAUGCAAUGUUUAGAAAAACUAGAAAAUUUAAAACAGCGUAUCUCAUCACAGUAGAAUUUCUUCACAAAAAUAACAAAUGAGACUGAGGCUACAACCAUAAUAAAAUUUCAAAUGUCCCAUUUUUUAGCCAAGCAAGAAAAGCCAUUUACCAAUGGUGAGUUAUUUAAAUCAUGUUAGAUUUGAGCAGCUGAAGAAAUGUGUUUAGAGAAAACAAACUUGUUUAAUAUGAUUAGCCUUUUAGCCAGAACAGUUACUUGAUGAGUUAAGGACACUGGG